This 440-nucleotide ribosomal RNA is filed under the name uncultured bacterium. RNAcentral describes it as "partial 16S ribosomal RNA". It matches the Rfam family "Bacterial small subunit ribosomal RNA", at positions 338 to 795 of the family's 1533-position model. The record is from RNAcentral.
CCUACGGGCGGCAGCAGUGGGGAAUAUUGCACAAUGGGGGAAACCCUGAUGCAGCAACGCCGCGUGAGUGAAGAAGUAUUUCGGUACGUAAAGCUCUAUCAGCAGGGAAGAAGAUGACGGUACCUGAUUAGGAAGCCCCGGCUAACUACGUCCCAGCAGCCGCGGUAAUACGUCGGGGGCAAGCGUUCUCCGGAUGUACUGGGGGUAAAGGGAGCGCAGAUGGCAGUGCAAGUCUGGAGUGAAAGCCCGGGGCCCAACCCCGGAACUGCUCCGGACACUGGGCGGCUAGAGUACGGGAGGGGCAGGCGGAAUUCCUAGUGUAGCGGUGAAAUGCGUAGAUAUUAGGAGGAACACCAGUGGCGAAGGCGGCCAGCUGGACAGUAACUGACGUUGAGGCGCGAAAGCGUGGGGAGCAAACAGGAUUAGAUACCCGAGUAGUC